Salvelinus sp. IW2-2015 is the source of this 617-nucleotide long non-coding RNA. RefSeq lists it as uncharacterized. The record is from RefSeq and is a predicted model, not a curated record. NCBI's taxonomy places the organism in Eukaryota, Metazoa, Chordata, Actinopteri, Salmoniformes, Salmonidae.
UGCAGGUGGCCAGCCGUCUGUCUCUCUACAUUCUCUGUGGUUGUGUACAUGAUUGCCCUGCUGGCCCUGGUGGCCCUGCUGGUGAACUGUGGACCUGCUGCAAGGAGCGGGAAGUCAAUUUCAAGGAGUUUGAGGACAAUUUUGAGGAUGAGUUGACUUCACCCCUCCAGCUGAAGACACCCCUCCAUGCAGUCCCCUGCUGAGGUGUACACCCUGGCAGUGCCCCCCGUGGCCUUGCCCGGCCCCCACCUGGAGACACCCCCCCCGCAUCUCAGUGGGAUCCACUGGCUCUCAGGUGGUCCGUCACAGUCUCAGCUACAUCCAGGAGAUUGGGAACGGCUGGUUUGGCAAGGUCCUCCUCAGUGAGAUCUACACAGAUCCGGGUGGGGCCAAGGCGGUGGUCAAGGAGCUGAAGGCUAACGCAAGUGCUAUGGAGCAGAAUGACUUCCUGCAGCACGGAGACCCUUACAGAGUUCUGGUGCACCCUAACAUCCUGCAGUGUCUGGGCCAGUGUGUGGAGGCUAUCCCCUUCCUGCUGGUCUUUGAGUACUGCGAGCUGGUGAGUGUCCUCGUUUACUAUCAUUUAUGAUCGUAUGAGUCAAUAUACACUACCUAUU